This is a small nuclear RNA of Alligator sinensis (Chinese alligator), 163 nucleotides long. RefSeq annotates it as U1 spliceosomal RNA. The transcript has a single exon. The record is from RefSeq and is a predicted model, not a curated record. NCBI's taxonomy places the organism in Eukaryota, Metazoa, Chordata, Crocodylia, Alligatoridae.
AAAAGUGUCUGCCAGAGGAAAUACCAUGAUUAUGAAGGUGGUUUUCAUGGGGUGCCUCUUCACUGCACUCUGGUCAGGCUGGCCUCUGAGAGUUUCCCCAAAUGCACUAAACUUAAGUGACUUAUUUUGUGGUAACGGGGGACUGUAUUCAUGCUUUCCCCUG